AGAUUUGGUCUCAUGUUUGUCACCGCAAGCAAUUGAAACAACUGGCGUGUCUGGCAACAGAUGAAAUAAGACAUGGCCUAGUACAGAUAUGUUCUACAACUGGAAAAAAAUGGUUAUGAUUGAGGCUUAGAAGUGGAGUGCAGUGAAGAAACUUUAGGGAAGCCUGACAACCACACCCUCUGCUGAUCCCUGUGGAAUUUUACAUGGAUAAUGAGUAAAAGAUUGACUCCAGAAGAAGGAGAU
Molecule: long non-coding RNA, 243 nt
Filed under: Homo sapiens (human)
Lineage: Eukaryota; Metazoa; Chordata; Mammalia; Primates; Hominidae
Description: non-protein coding lnc-LRIG1-1:8
Source: RNAcentral